CGAAAGCCUUCUUAUGCAUUACCAACAUACAAUGAUGAACAAGUUAGCUUGCUCUUGUUCUCUGUCAUUUGGAUAGGUUGUGUGGCUUGUAUCUCCAGGGGACUUUUAUAGCAAUAGUAAAGCCAGUACAGAAUUAUAAUUAUAACUCCUUGUUUACGUAAAUGCCUACAAAUAAUAAAAAUAUUCCACAAGAAUUAAAAGCCUUCUCCCCUAUUUGUAGUUUUCGAAGUUUUUGUGGUCUCAAGCAUACAUGAAGGAAGAAGAAACAUACUGGAUUUCCAUCCUUUGUGUGGACGAAGAAAACAUAAGUCCAUUUCCAUACUGGAUUUUUGCAAGUCCAUUUUUCCUAGUGUAUGCUUGGUAAGGAUGGACGGAUGAUGCUAGCUAGGUCACCACUCACCAGUGUCAUAGCAUGCGUGCGUGCGUGCAUGUUUCUGUUUACUGUAGAUAAACAUCUUGCAACUCAUCUAUAAAAAAUUGAGCAUCGAAACUCUUCCCAGCGUUGUUUUCCCACACAAACCUUCUGAUUUGACAGAAUAUAUUGGAAGCAAGAAAACCUGGAUUAGCAGAAAUAUAAAUGCGGAUUCCACAGAUCCAUCCAGGCAUGAACUGAAGGCAAUCGCCGCCUUGAGAACACAAACUGAGCCGGCCUGCUCCUUGCUGCUUGCAUCGCUGAUAGCAACUCGAUUAGUUGUCAUGAUGCAUUUCAGAUCAUAUUUCUUGCAGCUCAGUCAGCAAUGCAUCAACUAUCCAUUUGACGCAAGACUAUGGAACAUACCCUUCUCCUGCCAUGGCUAUUCUGACUGAACUGACAUAGCAAAAUGUCUACAUGGCUGCUUUCAGUACUGGAUACAGAAUAAUAAUCCUUGCAGGUUCAUCCUGUAGAGGGCUCAAAACAAAGUAGUGAGAACACUUGUAGUUCUUGAUCGAUUACAUAUGGAAACUAUUACGGUACAUGUUUUUUUCAGUACUGGUCAAAUACGGAAACUAUUACGGUACAUGUUUUUUCAGUACUGGUCACCUAAACUGGCAUGUUACGCUAUUAGCAAGUUAUCAUGGAUCAUACCUUGAUGUCCAAAGUCCUUCCAACCAACACAUGCAUAGCUAAAAUCUUGUCCACAUAUUACUGUUGAUCAAGGCUUCCAUCACAUGAGAUAGGAAAUAUUUUCUUUGUGGAUUCUCCUUCCCAUCUCAGCACACAUGAUUGAAAUGCAAGGCCACAUGUAGACCAACAAACAUAUUCCUUAGAGCAGUACUUCAGUAGUAGGCCUAGUGGAUGGAUGGCCAGCCCCAGAC
RNAcentral lists this long non-coding RNA (1296 nucleotides) under Triticum aestivum (bread wheat). Its description in RNAcentral is "long non-coding RNA (TAES_LNC007246)". Lineage: Eukaryota; Viridiplantae; Streptophyta; Magnoliopsida; Poales; Poaceae. The record is from RNAcentral.